Molecule: transfer RNA, 69 nt
Filed under: Thermofilum pendens
Lineage: Archaea; Thermoproteati; Thermoproteota; Thermoprotei; Thermofilales; Thermofilaceae
Description: tRNA-Gly
Source: RNAcentral
GCCGUAGUCCAGCCUGGUAGGAUAGUGGCGGUUUCCCCCCGCCGAAUCCCGGGUUCAAAUCCCGGCGGC